RNAcentral lists this ribosomal RNA (325 nucleotides) under uncultured eukaryote. RNAcentral describes it as "partial 18S ribosomal RNA". It matches the Rfam family "Eukaryotic small subunit ribosomal RNA", at positions 1470 to 1796 of the family's 1831-position model. The record is from RNAcentral.
CCCUUAGAUGUUCUGGGCCGCACGCGCGCUACACUGAUGCAUUCAACGAGCCUAUCCUUGACCGACAGGUCCGGGUAAUCUUUGACUCUGCAUCGUGACGGGGAUAGAUUAUUGCAAUUAUUAAUCUUCAACGAGGAAUGCCUAGUAGGCGCAAGUCAUCAGCUUGCGUCGAUUACGUCCCUGCCCUUUGUACACACCGCCCGUCGCUCCUACCGAUUGGGUGUGCUGGUGAAAUGUUCGGAUCGGCCGUUUGUCGCGGUUUCCGCGGCUCGUGGCUGAGAAGUUCAUUAAACCCUCCCACCUAGAGGAAGGAGAAGUCGUAACA